UUCUCCUCCAGUGCGCUCAACAUCAGUCUCUCCUCCACAAACUCCUCCAGCAGCGUCUCUCUCUGUCCCUGCAGUGCGUGUGAUUGUUCUGGGAGUUUUGCUCUUACUGCUCUUAGGGCCACUGCUUAUAUUGAUUCAGCAGAACAGAGUGAUGAGGAGAGCUCUCUCUAAGAGGAAACACAGGAUGAUGACUGAGGCCGUUUAUGAGGAGAUUCAGCAAAGACCCACUAAUAGACACAGUCUCCUCACUCAAAGGGGAAGUGUCCUUUCUAAAGAACAGCAUUCUGGGUAUGAAGAUGUUGAUAAACUUAUUACAG
Cyprinus carpio (common carp) is the source of this 317-nucleotide long non-coding RNA. RefSeq lists it as uncharacterized. Lineage: Eukaryota; Metazoa; Chordata; Actinopteri; Cypriniformes; Cyprinidae. The record is from RefSeq and is a predicted model, not a curated record. The transcript is spliced from 3 exons.